AAUAAAAUAUUAAUAAUUUAAUAUUUAAAUUAUUAAUAUAUAAAACACACACAGAGAGAGAGAGAGAGAGACGCACACACACACAAACUGAUCGUUAUUACUACCUCAAUAAUGUAAAUAUUAUAAUUUUUAUUGUUAUUAUUUUGCAGAGCCGUUGCCGAGCUACAGAGAGAACAUGCAGAAAAGAAGCAGUGCUCUUAGUAUAAUGACAAAUAAUUGAGAAAUAAACUAUAAACUCAUUUAAUUAUGUUAAAUCUGAUUCGUUCAUGGUGCGAACUGAGCUUUUUGAGCCUAACUUACAUCAAAAACAAGUACAGGGAGCGACUGAGGGCUCUGGACCAGGAGCUCCGCGUCUGCCUCUCAUCCAUCCCUGCCAGAAUAAGGCGAUUGUGUGCAUCAUCCCAGGCUCAGAUUUCCCAUUAAAAGAGAAAAGCUUCUGGAUUAGCACAUGCUUCCAAGAAUAGGAAGAACCAUAUAUAAACCUAAGCACCUCAGCAAAGUGAAACUACCAAACAUUGGGGAAAAUACAGCUAUACAUAGAUGUGGAUGCUUUUAGAGUGGAUUUGAUGGUAAUUUCACACAAAUGCAUAUUCGUGUUGUGGUGCACUUUGAUGACCUUUUACCACAUUGCUCAAGCCAAACGCUGAGCAAAGAGGCAAUUUGUGCCAAGGCUCGCAGAAGACCGCAAAAUGCUUCUCAUGUGAAUGUGCCCUUAGUGUGAUAUCAAACCUGAGGGUCAUUUUGAAAAUAAUUACAUGUAUAUAUAUUAUACAAACAAAGGACAGAUAUUGAUCUGAUCCUUUCAG
Molecule: long non-coding RNA, 806 nt
Organism: Trichomycterus rosablanca
Lineage: Eukaryota; Metazoa; Chordata; Actinopteri; Siluriformes; Trichomycteridae
Exons: 3
Source: RefSeq, a predicted model, not a curated record